UACGGAGGGUGCGAGCGUUGUCCGGAAUCACUGGGCGUAAAGGGCGCGUAGGCGGCGCAGACAGUCAACGGUGAAAGCUUGGGGCUCAACCCCGAGUCGGCCGUCGAUACUUCUGGGCUUGAGCACUGUAGAGGCAGGUGGAAUUCCGGGUGUAGCGGUGGAAUGCGUAGAGAUCCGGAAGAACACCGGUGGCGAAGGCGGCCUGCUGGGCAGUAGCUGACGCUGAGGCGCGACAGCGUGGGGAGCAAACAGG
RNAcentral lists this ribosomal RNA (253 nucleotides) under uncultured bacterium. RNAcentral's name for it is "partial 16S ribosomal RNA". It matches the Rfam family "Bacterial small subunit ribosomal RNA", at positions 524 to 776 of the family's 1533-position model. The record is from RNAcentral.